This is a non-coding RNA of Flavobacteriaceae bacterium TMED145, 301 nucleotides long. The record is from Rfam. NCBI's taxonomy places the organism in Bacteria, Pseudomonadati, Bacteroidota, Flavobacteriia, Flavobacteriales, Flavobacteriaceae.
GCAGUGUGAAUCGUCUUGUCGCUAUUAUAUAGAGGAAAGUCCGAACACCACAGUACAGCACAAUGGUUAACGGCCAUCAACUGAAAGGUUAGGAAAAGUGCAACAGAAAGAAUGUACAGGUAAUGCUGUAGUGAAAUCAUGUAAACUCUGUGCGGUGAAAUGCCAUGUAAACCAGCUUUUGAGAAUUGUACGUUCAAUGUUGGAGGGUAGGCAGCUAGAAUAUAUAGGUAACUAUAUAUCAAGAUAAAUGACAAGAACUUUUAAAAAAGUACAGAAUUCGGCUUAUAGAUUCACUGAAAAG